CUGCCCGCACCCCAACCUGGGCCUGGAUGAAACUGCAACACAGAUUGGGAAACUGAGAUAAAGCAGGAGGAAGUAACUGGUCUAAGCAAGUAAACACAGUUCCACUGACUACAGGACACCAAGUUGGAUUUCUGCCCAAGAUGUCAACAUGCAUCGCCUGGCUCCCCACUCCCUCGCCCUGACUCCAGCUGUGUUUUCUUUGGAUUUCUGCAUGGCUUGGAGAAGCUGCGUCAGCCCAUCUCCCAUCCUGACCUUUCUCCCACCCCCAACACCCACCCUGGCCAUCCCUUAGGAAUUGACCUCCACCCUCUCCCUCUGCCUGACCCCAUGAGCAUUGCAAUGCAUGUGCCUGUAUUGGUCAGCAUGGACCAGUUCCUCUUUUCUGUCGAAGGAGACAGCCACCUGGUCCCCGAAGGCCCUUCCAGGGCCUUCCUAACGACUGCAAGAAGCACCCAACACGUUCCAGCAUCUUGAAAAUUUUUCCAUGAGGCUCUAAUACUACACAAAUGCUGACAUAAACAGACUUUGAUCUGACAAGGACUGCCAGCCCUCCAUCCAGGAAUCAUGAGGACAUCUUAGCCCUCCAGUUUCCCUCCUCUCUUCACCCACCUAGAUCCAUAAUUCAUCACCCCCUUCCCACCCCACCCUCAGUACUAAAUUCUGCUCCUCUCUGUUUUCUCCAUCUCAGAUCAUGGCACACCCUCCACCCAGAUGCUCGAUUGAGUCAAAAACAAUAGGAGUCAUGUUUAACUCCUGUUUUCUUUCUACCACAUGUCAGUAAAUAAUUGUGUCUCCACCUCCCAAAGAUGUCCCACAUCUAUACUUUCUCUUCCAUUUGCACCAACACUAGCGCAGUGGUCGGCAAACUCAUUAGUCAACAGAGCCAAAUAUCAACAGUACAACGAUUGAAAUUUCUUUUGA
Myotis brandtii (Brandt's bat) is the source of this 921-nucleotide long non-coding RNA. RefSeq lists it as uncharacterized. The record is from RefSeq and is a predicted model, not a curated record. NCBI's taxonomy places the organism in Eukaryota, Metazoa, Chordata, Mammalia, Chiroptera, Vespertilionidae. The transcript is spliced from 4 exons.